UCCCUGGUGGUCCAGUGGUUAGGACUCAGCACUAUCACUGCCAUGGCCCAGGUUCAAUCCCUUGUCAGGGAG
This is a non-coding RNA of Eubalaena glacialis (North Atlantic right whale), 72 nucleotides long. NCBI's taxonomy places the organism in Eukaryota, Metazoa, Chordata, Mammalia, Artiodactyla, Balaenidae. The record is from the annotation of a RefSeq genome assembly.